AUGAAGAAGAUUAAGAGUGGAAAGGAGCUAGUGGAAGAAGUAAGAAAGAUUGAGAAGAACAUCAACGCUGGCAGUACUAUCUCUUCCCUCCUUGAGUUGAGUGUUGUUGGGAUAUCCCUUGAGGUGUGUGAGGUUCCAACACCUUCACAUUCAGCUGAGCAAGAUAGCGAGAGUCCAGAGGAAGAGAUACUUCAGAUCCAAGAAGAAAUUCUUGAAGCCAAGGCACAAGAUGAUCCAGAGCUCGAAUACCCAAAUGAACAGGUUGAAGAUCCAAUGUCUACCACUCCCAAAGAAGUAGAAGAAGCUGUUGUAGUUGAAGAUGAAGAACCAGAAAUUCGUUUUCCUAUUGUCAUACAAGAGUGUGAUGUAGCAGGUUUCUGCUUGUGCACAAAUCAAUACAUGCUGACCAGGUUCGAGGUGACAUCCCUUGGGAUCCCGGUGGAGUCAGAGCAUGGCGAUGAGGAGAAGCAAGGGGCACACAUGAAGAAGAGUGAAGCUGGAGCAUGCACGAGGAAGCAAAGGAGAAGAGCUGCAGCUUAG
This 540-nucleotide ribosomal RNA is filed under the name Triticum aestivum (bread wheat). Its description in RNAcentral is "partial small subunit ribosomal RNA". Lineage: Eukaryota; Viridiplantae; Streptophyta; Magnoliopsida; Poales; Poaceae. The record is from RNAcentral.